UCGAUAACGAACGAGACCUUAACCUGCUAAAUAGUUCUGCGAACCUGCGUUCGUAGCUAACUUCUUAGAGGGACUGACUACGUUUAGUGGUCGGAAGUUUGAGGCAAUAACAGGUCUGUGAUGCCCUUAGAUGUUCUGGGCUGCACGCGCGCUACACUGACAGAGGCAGCGAGUAUACAACCUUGACCGGAAGGUCUGGGCAAUCUUAUGAAACUCUGUCGUGCUGGGGAUAGAGCAUUGCAAUUAUUGCUCUUCAACGAGGAAUUCCUAGUAAGCGCAUGUCAUCAGCAUGCGUUGAUUACGUCCCUGCCCUUUGUACACACCGCCCGUCGCUAAUACCGAUUGAAUGGAUA
RNAcentral lists this ribosomal RNA (353 nucleotides) under Eukaryota sp. RNAcentral's name for it is "SSU rRNA". It matches the Rfam family "Eukaryotic small subunit ribosomal RNA", at positions 1325 to 1699 of the family's 1831-position model. The record is from RNAcentral.